GGCCUGCAAGAAGAGUGGAGGGCGGAGGGCAGAAGGGACUGGGGAAGGGGCGAGGCCUGGAAGAAUAGAGGCAGAGGCGGGAGCGGCCGAUCUUGGCGGAGUAGACACAGCUCCAGGCUCGGCAGCAGAGUCAGGGUCAGGAGCCGGUGUGGGACCUGAAGCAGGGCACAGGCUGGGGCUCAUCGCGGCCCGGCCCCUUUCCAUCGCAGAUCCCGCCUCCUCGCGACUCGGCCCCCAGGUCACAUCCCUCCGUCGGUGCCCGCCACCCACUCACCGUGGGGCUCCCGUGCGGCAGGUACACCGGGUAGUCGCGAGCGGUCUGCGGCGGCAGGGACCCCACCAGCCAGGGGAGCAGCACGGCCUCGGGCGUCCCCAGCCGCCACCAACCCUCUGUUGCUGCCACCACCCGGCCGGACACCACCAGACUGACGAAGGUCGUGCCCGCGGCCUCAGCGAACCCGGAGAGGGCUUCCUGGGUACGGGAGGCAGGAGGACUGGGAGUCAGCAGACAAGCGUAGGGGGUGGCAGCGACUUCCCAGAUGGGCAGGGAAUGGGGAGAAACCCACAGCCAGCCCCGAGCUCGCGCAGUGGCCAUGCUCCUACGUCUCACCCUCUCUGAGCCUGAGUUCCUUCACUUUCAUACGAAGUCACAUCCCCAACUCACACUGUGAAGUCUGUGAAAUCUGAUUAAACAUCUAGCCUGGGCGGGCAAACUGA
This 717-nucleotide long non-coding RNA is filed under the name Homo sapiens (human). RNAcentral's name for it is "HSALNT0398454". Lineage: Eukaryota; Metazoa; Chordata; Mammalia; Primates; Hominidae. The record is from RNAcentral.